Molecule: long non-coding RNA, 663 nt
Filed under: Rattus norvegicus (Norway rat)
Lineage: Eukaryota; Metazoa; Chordata; Mammalia; Rodentia; Muridae
Description: long non-coding RNA NONRATT003154
Source: RNAcentral
CAUUCUUAAUUUUAAUGUAGACAGUUGGCUUUUGUUAGGAAGUUUUUGUUUUGUUUUGUUUUUAAGGGAAAAUACUAAAGAGCUUCAAGAGUGGGAGGGACUCUAGUGGAGAAUCUCAGGAUUGAUACUUUUGGAUUUCUAGGCUAGUUUAAGAAACUUUGAUUUUCUUCUGUUAGCUUCAUAGUUUUUUGUUUUUUGUUUUGUUUUUUUUUUUCUCUCAUAUUGAGACCACUAAUGAAACUAGAGUUCUAACUGGUCUACCCUGGUGUAAGUAGACUGUUCUGAGCCCUCAACCCUGAUUCUCAGUGGUUGCUUCUGGGCUGUGCUGGUUGCUGACUAUUAUAUGUUACUUAUAAACUGUCUGAAAUGCACCUUUGUGGGGGAGAACAACUUUUAUUUUUAAUUAUAAUGAGCCAGUUUUCUAAGCUUUAUCUAUUAAAGUAAAAUUAAUCUACUAAUAUGUGGUCCGAUUUUCACAAAAGUAUGUCAACUCUUUUUUUUUUGUGAGAAUAUAUGCUAUUCCUUUGACUUUUGUAACAUUUAAAAAAUCCAUGAUAUACUAUGACUUCCAGGUCUUUCAGGUCUUGAGUGCCCACUAAUGAGUCUGAACACACUAAUAUGUAUCCAAUCUCAGCUGAAUAAAGGGAGAGCACUUGCUGGUUU